Molecule: long non-coding RNA, 952 nt
Organism: Brienomyrus brachyistius
Lineage: Eukaryota; Metazoa; Chordata; Actinopteri; Osteoglossiformes; Mormyridae
Exons: 2
Source: RefSeq, a predicted model, not a curated record
GGCCAGCUCCCGCUGACAAGUUGUCACGGCGUUGACCCGCUUUAGGAUCUCUACCCACGCGUUGUUUUUCGUUAUAUGUGUGACUCCAGCAUUGAAGUGGUUAACCAGACUGCGCAACGGAAUGGCUUCCAGAAUCGACUUCUUCCUCCUCCGAACAACGCUUACGUCCGUAAUGGCCGAAGAACCGCCUUUUUAGUAAAUCUGUGCUCCCAUUGGUCGGUUUUCGCCCAGCUGCUCAAAAUGCCGUCGCUGCCAUUCGCUGAAGUUAACAUCACUCAAGCACAACGUAGGCAUCGUAGUGGCAGAUGUACUCUGGGACGAAUAGCCGGUGGGAUUUAGCGCUAAUGGUUUCGUGCCGUGUUUGCUUAUAUUCAGUAAAUUUACAUGUGUGUUUAACAUGCAAAAUGCAUCGAUGAAUGACAUGAGACACAUAAUGAGAAAUCGUGGUAUUCACUUAACGUGGUUAUCGCUUUAUGGGGGCGAUGCUUUGUGUUGCUGUGCAUGGGUCCAUAACAAUACUGACGCCAAUCGCAAAUAUGUACAUUUGUUUUUGAGUGGCCAGUUUUUUUUUGAGAAUUGUAUAGUUUCUUAUUCUUUGUCAGCAUAAGAAAACGACUGUCGCUUGGCACUUUCGGGACCAAUUCUCUGUUCAGUGAACAAUGCCGUAUCGGUAUGUGUAAAAUACAUUUUUAGGUAAUCUUUAUUUGAAUGAUGCAAGUUUACUUGCUUUAUUCGUCUUUUGUUCCUGUCUUGUUUGCUGGAAUUUUUCAAAAUGCCGUAUAUGUGUUGCAUGCUUGUAAUGUAAAAAUCAUUUCACAACGCGCUGUGGUCAAGCCCUCAGACGUUAUUUGCUGCUUUGUGCUGGUGUGGUAUAUUUAGGAGUAAAUAUGUUUAUUUAUUAUGAACUUUCAGUGCAUCAACAAAGAUAAAAGAAAAAGUUUGUAAAAAUCAA